GACUCAACGAUCCGCAGGUGUUGAGAGC
This 28-nucleotide small RNA is filed under the name Bombyx mori (domestic silkworm). RNAcentral describes it as "ovarian small RNA-15607". The record is from RNAcentral. Lineage: Eukaryota; Metazoa; Arthropoda; Insecta; Lepidoptera; Bombycidae.